AUGCCAGCCCUGUGGAGAUGGUGGUGUCUGCUACUGCUGGAGAAUUACUCCCUUGACAGCCAUGGUCAAGUCUUUGCACAUUGGACAGCGGAGUGCCAGGAGCUGUUGAGUGGAAAUUAUUCCCCAGUGUUGAGGCUGAAGAGAAGGCGCGAGCAGGAUCCUGAGUGUCCACCCUCUGCACCUGCUACAAUCUCACAGUCAAGACAGUGUCUUGCUGAACAAAAGGGCUUCUGUGUUUUCCAGUCAUCAGCAAACUCUGGACAGAGGUGGGUUAAAAAGCAAAAUGAAUAUUUUUUUUUCAACUCUAACAUCUGUUGUGUUUGUAGAGUCUUAUACCCAAAUGUUGAGCCAAUGGAAUGGCUGCAGUGUGAAACCUGCAAUGAAUGGCUACACAGACUGUGUGGGUCCAGUGCACCAUCAGAGUUGGUCGUGCGGCUGUUCAUGUAG
Molecule: long non-coding RNA, 447 nt
Filed under: Sander lucioperca (pikeperch)
Lineage: Eukaryota; Metazoa; Chordata; Actinopteri; Perciformes; Percidae
Description: lncRNA (ENSSLUG00000018587.1)
Source: RNAcentral